RNAcentral lists this long non-coding RNA (651 nucleotides) under Homo sapiens (human). RNAcentral's name for it is "HSALNT0071914". Lineage: Eukaryota; Metazoa; Chordata; Mammalia; Primates; Hominidae. The record is from RNAcentral.
GGACCUUCUGGGAAAGCUGAUCUCAAAGUAGCAGAGGCAGCCAUCUAAAAGGUUCAGGGGUGCCUUGCAUCUCAGAAGCAACCGGAAAACCCAAUGCAGAAGGCAAAUUGUUUAGCUAAAGAUGUGAGGUGAAACUGUUGUCCAUUUAAGUCAGUGUACACCACUGUGGAUUAGGAGCCCCAGCUUGAGGUUCUGGCUGGACAAGCAGGUAGAUUAUCAUUAAGACAUGGGUUCACAACAAGGUGACAUCACAGCUAAAGGAUCCUUCUACUCAGGAAGAUCAAACCUACAUGAAUGAAAAUAAUGUCAUGCAAUAUUGGAGGUUCAUCACAAACAGAGAAGAAAUUAAUAGCUGAGAAAACCUGGACUGGAACAUUAGUGCUUGGAACUGUCAAACCUGCAUCUUUAAAGAACUGGGCCCUUCUUCAGAGAGAAAAGAAAACAUCAAAGCUUUACUGAACAAUGUUAAUGGAUGACUUGUUUCUCUUCAUGUUACUGCAAAGAAAGAUAAAUCAUGAACCAUAAAUCUGUGUUUCUUUUUUCUUUCAUCUGUAUUCAACCUUAGUUCACUGACAUACUCUAAGAUUUCUUGUCAUUAAAAGCUUUUAGGCUGCCUAUGUAAUUUGGAAGAAAUUCUUGUUGAGUAGGAGG